UCUUGGAGUAGGUCAUUGGGUGGAUUCCCUAUUUCGUGACAUGGGCCACUGGAUGGCUCCUCCAUGGCU
RNAcentral lists this microRNA precursor (69 nucleotides) under Dasypus novemcinctus (nine-banded armadillo). RNAcentral's name for it is "microRNA dno-mir-432 precursor". Its record names the gene dno-mir-432. The record is from miRBase by way of RNAcentral. Lineage: Eukaryota; Metazoa; Chordata; Mammalia; Cingulata; Dasypodidae.